RNAcentral lists this ribosomal RNA (279 nucleotides) under uncultured bacterium. RNAcentral's name for it is "partial 16S ribosomal RNA". It matches the Rfam family "Bacterial small subunit ribosomal RNA", at positions 506 to 784 of the family's 1533-position model. The record is from RNAcentral.
UGCCAGCAGCCGCGGUAAUACAUGAGCCUCGAGCGUUACCCGGAUUCACUGGGCGUAAAGGGUGUGUAGGCGGCAUAGUUAGUCGCGCGUUAAAGCUCAGGGCUCAACCCUGAAAUCGCGUGCGAAACGGCUAAGCUAGAGGAUGCGAGAGGUCUGUGGAACUCAUGGUGUAGGGGUGAAAUCCGUUGAUAUCAUGGGGAACACCGAAAGCGAAGGCAGCAGACUGGCGCAUUUCUGACGCUGAGACACGAAAGCGUGGGUAGCGAAUGGGAUUAGAUA